RNAcentral lists this microRNA precursor (152 nucleotides) under Myotis lucifugus (little brown bat). RNAcentral describes it as "miRNA (ENSMLUG00000020370.1)". The stretch from base 50 to 101 matches the Rfam family "mir-1302 microRNA precursor family". Lineage: Eukaryota; Metazoa; Chordata; Mammalia; Chiroptera; Vespertilionidae. The record is from RNAcentral.
AAUACAGAAUGUCCAGCUAAAUUUGAAUUUCAGAAAAACCAUGAAUAAUCUUUUAGUAUAAGUAUGUCCCAUGCAGUAUUUGGGACAUACUUACACUAAAAAAAAAAUUGUUAUUUAUCUGAAAUUCAAAUAUAACUGGGUGUUCUAUAUUU